This 835-nucleotide ribosomal RNA is filed under the name Phaeovulum veldkampii. RNAcentral describes it as "bacterial SSU rRNA". It matches the Rfam family "Bacterial small subunit ribosomal RNA", at positions 9 to 873 of the family's 1533-position model. The record is from RNAcentral. Lineage: Bacteria; Pseudomonadati; Pseudomonadota; Alphaproteobacteria; Rhodobacterales; Paracoccaceae.
GGAGAGUUUGAUCAUGGCUCAGAACGAACGCUGGCGGCAGGCUUAACACAUGCAAGUCGAGCGACCCUUUCGGGGGGAGCGGCGGACGGGUGAGUAACGCGUGGGAACGUACCCUUUUCUACGGAAUAGCAUUUGGAAACGAAUGGUAAUACCGUAUACACCCUUCGGGGGAAAGAUUUAUCGGAAAAGGAUCGGCCCGCGUUAGAUUAGGUAGUUGGUGGGGUAACGGCCUACCAAGCCACCGAUCUAUAGCUGGUUUGAGAGGAUGAUCAGCCACACUGGGACUGAGACACGGCCCAGACUCCUACGGGAGGCAGCAGUGGGGAAUCUUGGACAAUGGGGGAAACCCUGAUCCAGCCAUGCCGCGUGAGUGAAGAAGGCCCUAGGGUCGUAAAACUCUUUCAACUGUGAAGAUAAUGACGGUAGCAGUAGAAGAAGUCCCGGCUAACUCCGUGCCAGCAGCCGCGGUAAUACGGAGGGGACUAGCGUUGUUCGGAAUUACUGGGCGUAAAGCGUACGUAGGCGGAUUAGUAAGUUAGAGGUGAAAUCCCGGGGCUUAACCCCGGAACUGCCUUUAAAACUGCUAGUCUUGAGGUCGAGAGAGGCGAGUGGAAUUCCAAGUGUAGAGGUGAAAUUCGUAGAUAUUUGGAGGAACACCAGCGGCGAAGGCGGCUCGCUGGCUCGAUACUGACGCUGAGGUACGAAAGUGUGGGGAGCAAACAGGAUUAGAUACCCUGGAAUCACUAGUGCGGCCGCCUGCAGGUCGACCAUAUGGGAGAGCUCCCAACGCGUUGGAUGCAUAGCUUGAGUAUUCUAUAGUGUCACCUAAAUAGCU